UCCUGAUUCGGAGCUGCUUGUGUCAC
This 26-nucleotide non-coding RNA is filed under the name Homo sapiens (human). The record is from RNAcentral. Lineage: Eukaryota; Metazoa; Chordata; Mammalia; Primates; Hominidae.